Molecule: ribosomal RNA, 103 nt
Filed under: Carlito syrichta (Philippine tarsier)
Lineage: Eukaryota; Metazoa; Chordata; Mammalia; Primates; Tarsiidae
Source: RNAcentral
GUCUGUGGUCAUACCACCCUGAAUGUGACUGAUCCCGUCUGAUCUCAGAAGCUAAGCAGGGUCGGCCUGGUUAGUACUUGGAUGGGAGAAAAUGAGACAUACU